RNAcentral lists this ribosomal RNA (253 nucleotides) under uncultured bacterium. RNAcentral describes it as "partial 16S ribosomal RNA". It matches the Rfam family "Bacterial small subunit ribosomal RNA", at positions 524 to 776 of the family's 1533-position model. The record is from RNAcentral.
UACAGAGGGGGCAAGCGUUAUUCGGAAUUAUUGGGCGUAAAGGGCGCGUAGGCGGCUUAGCAAGUGACGGGUGAAAUCCCUCGGCUUAACCGAGGAACUGCCUGUCAAACUGCAUGGCUUGAGACCGAGAGAGGUGAGUGGAAUUCCUAGUGUAGAGGUGAAAUUCGUAGAUAUUAGGAAGAACACCAGUGGCGAAGGCGGCUCACUGGCUCGGUACUGACGCUGAGGCGCGAAAGCGUGGGGAGCAAACAGG